AUACUCACUUAAGCUGGCAGGGAAGAUAGUUUUCCCAGAGUGAGGCUUAUGCAUUGCACUCUGAAUGUGCCGAUCCCUGAGAUUUCCCCAAAUGUGGGAAACUUGGCAGUAUAAUUUGUGGUAGUGAGGGACUGUGUUUUCACUUUCCUCUG
Molecule: small nuclear RNA, 152 nt
Organism: Microcebus murinus (gray mouse lemur)
Lineage: Eukaryota; Metazoa; Chordata; Mammalia; Primates; Cheirogaleidae
Gene: U1
Rfam family: U1 spliceosomal RNA
About the family: U1 is a small nuclear RNA (snRNA) component of the spliceosome (involved in pre-mRNA splicing). Its 5' end forms complementary base pairs with the 5' splice junction, thus defining the 5' donor site of an intron. There are significant differences in sequence and secondary structure between metazoan and yeast U1 snRNAs, the latter being much longer (568 nucleotides as compared to 164 nucleotides in human).
Source: Ensembl